RNAcentral lists this ribosomal RNA (1489 nucleotides) under metagenome. RNAcentral describes it as "bacterial SSU rRNA". It matches the Rfam family "Bacterial small subunit ribosomal RNA". The record is from RNAcentral.
UUUGAUCCUGGCUCAGAUUGAACGCUGGCGGCAUGCCUUACACAUGCAAGUCGAACGGCAGCACGGGAGCAAUCCUGGUGGCGAGUGGCGAACGGGUGAGUAAUACAUCGGAACGUGCCCAAUCGUGGGGGAUAACGCAGCGAAAGCUGUGCUAAUACCGCAUAAGAUCUACGGAUGAAAGCAGGGGAUCGCAAGACCUUGCGCGAAUGGAGCGGCCGAUGGCAGAUUAGGUAGUUGGUGAGGUAAAGGCUCACCAAGCCUUCGAUCUGUAGCUGGUCUGAGAGGACGACCAGCCACACUGGGACUGAGACACGGCCCAGUCUCCUACGGGAGGCAGCAGUGGGGAAUUUUGGACAAUGGGCGCAAGCCUGAUCCAGCCAUGCCGCGUGCAGGAUGAAGGCCUUCGGGUUGUAAACUGCUUUUGUACGGAACGAAACGGCUCUUUCUAAUAAAGAGGGCUAAUGACGGUACCGUAAGAAUAAGCACCGGCUAGCUACGUGCCAGCAGCCGCGGUAAUACGUAGGGUGCAAGCGUUAAUCGGAAUUACUGGGCGUAAAGCGUGCGCAGGCGGUGAUGUAAGACAGUUGUGAAAUCCCCGGGCUCAACCUGGGAACUGCAUCUGUGACUGCAUCGCUGGAGUGCGGCAGAGGGGGAUGGAAUUCCGCGUGUAGCAGUGAAAUGCGUAGAUAUGCGGAGGAACACCGAUGGCGAAGGCAAUCCCCUGGGCCUGCACUGACGCUCAUGCACGAAAGCGUGGGGAGCAAACAGGAUUAGAUACCCUGGUAGUCCACGCCCUAAACGAUGUCAACUGGUUGUUGGGUCUUCACUGACUCAGUAACGAAGCUAACGCGUGAAGUUGACCGCCUGGGGAGUACGGCCGCAAGGUUGAAACUCAAAGGAAUUGACGGGGGCCCGCACAAGCGGUGGAUGAUGUGGUUUAAUUCGAUGCAACGCGAAAAACCUUACCCACCUUUGACAUGUACGGAAUUUGCCAGAGAUGGCUUAGUGCUCGAAAGAGAACCGUAACACAGGUGCUGCAUGGCUGUCGUCAGCUCGUGUCGUGAGAUGUUGGGUUAAGUCCCGCAACGAGCGCAACCCUUGUCAUUAGUUGCUACAUUUAGUUGGGCACUCUAGUGAGACUGCCGGUGACAAACCGGAGGAAGGUGGGGAUGACGUCAAGUCCUCAUGGCCCUUAUAGGUGGGGCUACACACGUCAUACAAUGGCUGGUACAAAGGGUUGCCAACCCGCGAGGGGGAGCUAAUCCCAUAAAACCAGUCGUAGUCCGGAUCGCAGUCUGCAACUCGACUGCGUGAAGUCGGAAUCGCUAGUAAUCGUGGAUCAGAAUGUCACGGUGAAUACGUUCCCGGGUCUUGUACACACCGCCCGUCACACCAUGGGAGCGGGUUCUGCCAGAAGUAGUUAGCCUAACCGCAAGGAGGGCGAUUACCACGGCAGGGUUCGUGACUGGGGUGAAGUCGUAACAAGGUA